Molecule: long non-coding RNA, 461 nt
Filed under: Salvia miltiorrhiza (redroot sage)
Lineage: Eukaryota; Viridiplantae; Streptophyta; Magnoliopsida; Lamiales; Lamiaceae
Description: long non-coding RNA (SMIL_LNC006046)
Source: RNAcentral
CUGUAGUGGAAAGUUAAGCCUCAGCUGCUAGUCUUGAAAGGUGAUCACUAGGGCAAAGUUAAUGUGUGUAGAGCUACAACAUACUACUUCGAACAUGUGGAAGCUAACGACCACGAUAUAAAUACGUCAGUCAUCAAUAAAGCAUUGAUAUGUCAUGUGCCUAAAUAACAAUUGAUAUUCCUUGUUAGAAGAAAAUACUGGCAGUUUUCCACAUGUAGUUCCAUAAAAACACUAGUGAUUAAACCGCCGUGACAGGAUUACCAAUAUCUGGAAUUUCCAUCAGAACUGAAAGCCUGCAGCACCUAACAAACAGCUGCACAAACGAGCAUUAUAAGAAAACUGGUCAAGUUGUAGAAAUCAAGGAUGUUCGUGCAUAUAAGAAAGGCCUCAUAUCUACAUGCAUACACGGAUUCUGAGCUGGAUAAUAGCAAGUUAUAGUAUAUUGGCUUUGAAAGUAACAU